GACGAACGCUGGCGGCGUGCCUAAUACAUGCAAGUAGAACGCACAGUUUAUACCGUAGCUUGCUCCACCAUAGACUGUGAGUUGCGAACGGGUGAGUAACGCGUAGGUAACCUGCCUGGUAGCGGGGGAUAACUAUUGGAAACGAUAGCUAAUACCGCAUAAUAUUAAUUAUUGCAUGAUAAUUAAUUGAAAGGUGCAAUUGCACCACUACCAGAUGGACCUGCGUUGUAUUAGCUAGUAGGUGAGGUAACGGCUCACCUAGGCGACGAUACAUAGCCGACCUGAGAGGGUGAUCGGCCACACUGGGACUGAGACACGGCCCAGACUCCUACGGGAGGCAGCAGUAGGGAAUCUUCGGCAAUGGACGAAAGUCUGACCGAGCAACGCCGCGUGAGUGAAGAAGGUUUUCGGAUCGUAAAGCUCUGUUGUAAGAGAAGAACGGGUGUGAGAGUGGAAAGUUCACACUGUGACGGUAUCUGACCAGAAAGGGACGGCUAAUUACGUG
RNAcentral lists this ribosomal RNA (505 nucleotides) under uncultured bacterium. RNAcentral's name for it is "partial 16S ribosomal RNA". It matches the Rfam family "Bacterial small subunit ribosomal RNA", at positions 28 to 507 of the family's 1533-position model. The record is from RNAcentral.